GAAGCAGAGGCCGGCAUGACCACGGAGCAGCGGCGCAGCCUGCUAGCCUUCCAGGAUUAUAUCCGGAAGACCCUGGACCCUACCUAUAUCCUGAGCUACAUGGCCCCCUGGUUUAGGGAGGAAGAGGUGCAGUGUAUUCAGGCUGAGAAAAACAACAAGGGCCCCAUGGAGGCUGCCACACUUUUUCUCAAGUUCCUGUUGGAGCUCCAGGAGGAAGGCUGGUUCCGUGGCUUUUUGGAUGCCCUAGACCAUGCAGGUUAUUCUGGACUUUAUGAAGCCAUUGAAAGUUGGGAUUUCAAAAAAAUUGAAAAGUUGGAGGAGUAUAGAUUACUUUUAAAACGUUUACAACCAGAAUUUAAAACCAGAAUUAUUCCAACAGAUAUCCUUUCUGAUCUGUCUGAAUGUUUAAUUAAUCAGGAAUGUGAAGAAAUUCUACAGAUUUGCUCCACUAAGGGGAUGAUGGCAGGUGCAGAGAAAUUGGUGGAAUGCCUUCUCAGAUCAGACAAGGAGAACUGGCCCAAAACUUUGAAACUUGCUUUGGAGAGAGAGAGGAACAAGUUCAGUGAACUGUGGACUGUAGAGAACGGUAUAAAAGAUGUUGAAACAGAAGAUCUCGAGGAUAAGAUGGAAACUUCUGACAUACAGAUUUUCUACCAAGAAGAUCCAGAAUGCCAGAAUCUUAGUGAGAAUUCAUGUCCACCUUCAGAAGUGUCUGAUACAAACUUGUACAGCCCAUUUAAACCAAAAAAUUACCAAUUAGAGCUUGCUUUACCUGCUAAGAAAGGAAAAAACACAAUAAUAUGUGCUCCUACAGGUUCUGGAAAAACCCUGGUUUCAAUCCUUAUAUGUGAACAUCAUCUUAAAAAAUUCCCACAAGGACAAAAGGGAAAAGUUGUCUUUUUUGCAAAUCAGAUCCCACUAUAUGAACAGCAGGAAUCUAUAUUCUCAAAAUACUUUGAAAGACUUGGGUAUAGAGUUACAGGUAUUUCUGGAGCAACAGCUGAGAAUGUACCGGUGGAACAGAUUGUUGAGAACAAUGACAUCAUCAUUUUAACUCCGCAGAUUCUUGUGAAUAACCUUAAAAAGGGAACGAUUCCAUCACUGUCCGUCUUUACUUUGAUGAUAUUUGAUGAAUGCCACAACACCAGUAAACAACACCCAUACAAUAUGAUCAUGUUUAAUUAUCUAGAUCAGAAACUUGGAGGAUCUUCAGGCCCACUACCCCAGGUCGUUGGGCUGACUGCCUCGGUUGGUGUUGGGGAUGCUAAAGACACAGAUGAAGCCUUGGAUUAUAUCUGCAAGCUGUGUGCUUCUCUUGAUGCAUCAGUGAUAGCAACAGUCAAAGACAACCUGGAGGAACUGGAGCAAGUUGUUUAUAAGCCCCAGAAGUUUUUCAGGAAAGUGGAAUCACGGAUUAGCGACAAAUUUAAAUGCAUCAUAGCUCAGCUGAUGAGGGACACAGAGAGUCUGGCGAAGAGAAUCUGCAAAGACCUCGAAAACUUUUCUCAAAUUCAAAAUAGGGAAUUUGGAACACAGAAAUAUGAACAAUGGAUUGUUACAGUUCAGAAAGCAUGCAUGGUGUUCCAGAUGCCAGACAAAGAUGAAGAGAGCAGGAUUUGUAAAGCCCUGUUUUUAUACACUUCACAUUUGCGGAAAUAUAAUGAUGCCCUCAUUAUCAGUGAGCAUGCACGAAUUAAAGAUGCUUUGGAUUACUUGAAAGACUUCUUCAGCAAUGUCCGAGCAGCAGGAUUCGAUGAAAUUGAGCAAGAUCUUACUCAGAGAUUUGAAGAAAAGCUGCAGGAACUAGAAAGUGUUUCCAGGGAUCCCAGCAAUGAGAACCCUAAACUUGAAGACCUCCGCUUCAUCUUACAAGAAGAGUACCACUUAAACCCGGAGACCAUAACAAUUCUCUUUGUGAAAACCAGAGCACUUGUGGAUGCUUUAAAAAAUUGGAUUGAAGGAAAUCCUAAACUCAGUUUUCUAAAACCUGGCAUAUUGACUGGACGCGGCAAAACAAAUCAGAACACAGGAAUGACCCUCCCAGCACAGAAGUGUAUAUUGGAUGCAUUCAAAGUCAAUGGAGAUCACAAUAUUCUGAUUGCCACCUCAGUUGCUGAUGAAGGCAUUGACAUUGCACAGUGCAAUCUUGUCAUCCUGUAUGAGUAUGUGGGCAAUGUCAUCAAAAUGAUCCAAACCAGAGGCAGAGGAAGAGCAAGAGGUAGCAAGUGCUUCCUUCUGACUAGUAAUGCUGGUGUAAUUGAAAAAGAACAAAUAAACAUGUACAAAGAAAAAAUGAUGAAUGACUCUAUUUUACGCCUUCAGACAUGGGACGAAGCAGUAUUUAGGGAAAUGAUUCUGCAUAUACAGACUCAUGAAAAAUUAAUCAGAGAUAGUCAAGAAAAACCAAAACCUGUACCUGAUAAGGAAAAUAAAAAACUGCUGUGCGGAAAGUGCAAAGCCUUGGUAUGUUACACAGCUGACAUAAGAGUGAUAGAGGAAUGCCAUUACACUGUGCUUGGAGAUGCUUUUAAGGAAUGCUUUGUGAGUAGACCACAUCCCAAGCCAAAGAAGUUUCCAAAUUUUGAAAAAAGAGCAAAGAUAUUCUGUGCCCGACAGAACUGCAGCCAUGACUGGGGAAUCCAUGUGAAGUACAAGACAUUUGAGAUUCCAGUUAUAAAAAUUGAAAGUUUUGUGGUAGAGGAUAUUGCAACUGGAGUUCAGACACUGUACUCGAAGUGGAAGGACUUUCAUUUUGAGAAGAUACCAUUUGAUCCAGCAGAAAUGUCCAAAUGAUAUCAGGGCCUCAAUCUUCAGCUACAGGGAAUGAGUAACUGUGAGUGGAGAAGAAACAAAUGUAACCAAAGGCCACAUUUUAGAAACAACUGGGGAAUCUUCUUCAUGGACACAUGCCCAGCUCCAUUAGAGCAUCCUGGCAGGGUGUCCAGCAUGUACAUGUUUUGAAGCUCCUGUGGUUGAGACACCACCUGUUAUACAACCACCACCUUGUUAUCUCUGCGGUCCAGACCUGUGCUGAUGCUGUGAUAUUUUCACCCUGAAAUGAAGACUCAUCUCAACAUCAAGGGAAUACUGAGAGACAAAUCUCCAAGAUCACAAAUUAUUAAUGGUUGCCCCAGAACUGCUGGUGGCCAUAUCCCCUGGCAUAUGGAAGGGCCCAGAAGAGGCCACUCUACUGCAGAGGCCAAUAGAAGGUCCAUUAACUCGGCCUCUGGAGGAAUGCAUUUAACACAAUGCCUGCCAAGCUCCCUAACACCAUCUCCCAUGGAGCACCUUGUGGAGGGUGCAGUGUGUGAACAUCACACCCACAUCACCCUUUCCCACAGACAGUUCUACUCUCGUUUAAACCACCAGCCGCAGUCAGAAGCCCUUGGGUCAGCUGAAUGCAGAAGGCGGGAAAAGGAAUAAUAUCCAAGACUCUCAGAAUAUAAUGCUGAGCCCCAUACAUCUCCUCCUAUUUGUAAAAUGUACGGAAAGUUUGAUUUUAGUAGCUUGGUACUUCCUACUGAGUGGCCUUAAUUUUUUUUAAGUGUGCAAAAAUGCAUUCUGAGAGGUGCAUUCAACCAAUGGACUCCACUUAGUGACACAAUAAGUGACCACCAGGGGUCCUCGCCACAGCUGACACACAACCCAGGGUGUCCGACACAGGGGUGGGGUUUUGGAGAGCUGAACCUGAGGCCUUUCUUCUCUAGGCUGUCACUGACUUGUCCAAAUCUGGGAACAUUUGGGGGAGGUGGAGUUUGUAAAAAUGCGAGUCACAGAAGAAAAAUGACGGAGAACCCCCUCCCCAGUUAUCUGAAGAAAUAAAUGUUACUUUAUAUAGUUGAUACUCCCAUUAGCCUUGAGGUCUGCAGACAGGACACAAAGGGAGCAGCUUUCCCUUAGAUCCUCGGGUGGUGAGGGCAGUGUAGGAACUCACCUCUAUUUUCUGAUAGACUUCCUUAAACAUCCCCGGGAUGACAUACUGACGCUCCACUGCCUGGAUCUCAUCUCUAGUCGGCCAGAUAUCUUUCAGAAAUACCUGCUGUCCCUUUGCAUUUACUCCUGGGGAAAAAUUGUUUAUUAAUGAGAAAACUUUCUAAUGUGCAAUUUUCAUGAUUAUACACAGUCAAGUCUCGUUCUCCUUGGUAGUUAUGUUCUAUAAAGCCUGUGUGAAUGCUGAAUGACUAGAUACGGAAUCAUUGCCACUAGACGAAAUACAGGAUUAGGUUCCUGGGAGCCUCUGGUCAGCAAUCAAUACAUAACCUUGCUUCAUGUGAGGUUUAUUAUUCACCUUAUUUAAUAGAAAUUGUUGACUCACUGACAUUAAACUUCCAGCCAAAAGCACUAUAACUCUUCUGAAUGAAGCCUAUCUAAACACAAUGCACAUCACAGUCAGCUUGUGCUUAAGAACGCCAGACAGCACUUCAGGGCUAUGCUCAAGGACCAUUUUGAACAGCGAAAUCACCACAGAAAGCACAAAAAUGCAAAAAGCACGGCAUUAAGUAGACCGAGCAAAGGAUCCUUAUAUAUCACAUGAGAGCUGAAACAAGAAGUCAGAGUGACGCCUUAUCAGAUCUCAGCAUAGAACAUGUAUGUUGAGUGAUAUAAAGUUUUCACCCUUGUGCUGAUCUGUGAAUGAUCGUGAACAUACUACAAGUAUUGAUUUGGGGGUUAAAAUACAUUUUAGUGAUUAGGCAAAUCUGCAAGUAUAGAACUCACAAAUAAUGUGGAUCAACUGUACGUCUAAAGUUAUGAUUUCCAAAAAGUAAAUUUCAGGGACAUUGUUUUCAUAUUAUCUAUUCGGCUUAGAACAGAUUGAGGCUGGCAGAGCAAGCAAGCUGAUCUGAGGAAAGGAGAUAUUGUAUCAUUUCUUUGGAAUUCUGAGAAGUUGAAAUAUCUGCAGUAUGUUUCUACAGAGUACAUAUUAAAACAACGCCUAUCAUUAAAGUGAGAGCUAGAAAGGGAGGAACUACAGAAGAAACCAGAAUAGCAAGAUGUCUAUUCCUUUUGGCACCUACUUUCCUUUCGUCAUCCUUGACCCUCAGUAGAUUCUUGUUUUAACUACUGCAGUUAAGUCUUAGCUGUAUACUGGGGAAUAAAGAAACGAUUCUCUUCUUUGUCUUCUCCCUGGAGGUUCUAUGCUUCAUUUCUUAUUAAGGAAAGCGGCAACUUUCUUCCAGUAAUAUUUCUGAAUUCACUGGAAAAAAAUUAUGGCUGCACAAACAAAAUCUUACCCAGUGGUUCUUUCUCAAAGUCGAUUCUGAUGGUCCCAGCAAUUGCGUAUGCUAUUACUAAGGGGGGAGAAGCUAAAUAGUUGGCCCGGGUGUUGGGGUGCACUCGACCUUCAAAAUUCCUGUUCCCAGAUAGUACUCCAACAGCUACAAGGUCUCCCUGUGUAAGGCAAGAGAAAAAUCAGGUCAUUAAGAGAGACUCACUAGGCUUAUUGUCUCAGACCAUUUGCAAGAGUUUCCACAUCGCAAGGAUAGUCCUUUAAGUUGCCCUUUCACUUGGUUCUCUCCCACUAGAGGGGAAAAGGGUACAUCGGGUGUCCCUGUGGGAGAUACUCUGGGUCAAAGGAAGCAGAGACAUGUUUAGUGAUUUCUGCUCACGAGAAAAUAUCAGGUAGUUAGAAGGCAACAUACUAGUUAUUGCUGUCUGGGGCCCAAGAACAGGUGGGAAAGACCUAACAGUUGAUAGCUAAAGGAAGUCACAAUGACUUACAUAGAUUCUAUAAUCAAUGCAAAGCAAACCAAAUAAUAUUUUUCAAGGUUCAGCAUUUUUGGGACAAAAAUCAAGCCAAAACAAUUUAGUUUAGAUUCAUUCAUUUGUGUGGAGACUUGUCUCACUUUGAACCAAUUUUCAAAUUAUCCAGGUUGGUGCAAAAGUAAUUGUGGUCUUCAUCACUGAAAUGGCAAAAUCACAGUUACUGUUGCACUAACUCAACACCUAUAACGAACAGCUGUAGAGCUCUUUGUAGUCAAAACCAGCAAGUACUGAGCACUUACUGGAGUGCCAGACACUGCACUAAGUGACUUAUGUUUAUCAUCAUCUUAAUUCUCACAACUCUAUAAAACAGAUACCAUUAUCAGAUCCAAUAUACAGUUGUGAAAACCCAGGCACAGAUAGGCUAAUCAACUUGCCCAAGGUUACCCAGCUAGUAAUUUUAGCUAAACUCAAAAGACCAUACCCUAAACCACAUCCCCUGCUUCCAUGGACCUUCUUGAAAAUACCAGCAUUUUUGUCAAAUUACAUGAAAAGAAACAACUGCUCUGAAGACCUACAGGCACCUCUGCAAUUACCUGUGUGAUGGCUUCUACCACAGGUUCAGGUAAAGGCCCACUGUUGCCAAUGCAGGUCAUGCAGCCAUAGCCCACCACGUCAAACCUAGGCACCAAGAGAGAAGCACAAAAAAAAAAGAACAACUUUCAGUGAGCCUUUCUGCUGGCCACAGUUUCCAGAGACCACUGUUCAAAAAGGAAUUGCAGUGCAUGAACUAAGUUCAGUAUAGUGCUAUUUCUAAAAGUUUCAUUCUUGAGAGCAUUCUGAUAUAUCAUACAGCAUAAGAAUACUAUUCAUAUUUUUUACUUAUAAAAAGGAAUCAAAUUGAAUAAACAACAAUUUUAAAAGUUGAAAUCAUAUAUGCCAUUUAAUAUCUUCAUUAAGUACUGUUAUUAUAUAAUCCCAAGGAGAUUUGAAUUUUAUGAGGCACAUGAAUAAAAUGUAAGGAAUAAUAUGGAAAUUGGAGAAAGCGUAUUUGGCAAUGAAUACGUUCAUGCACUGCACAAUGAUGUUUCAGUUAGUGACAGACCACAUAUACACACCGGAGCUGACAAAUUCCUAUCACCUAGUGAUGCUGUAGCCAUCGUGAUGUCACAGCGCAAGGCAUUUCUUGUUUAUGAUGAUGCUGCUAUAAACAAACUCAUGCUGAUGUUUUAUAGUUCUUUUACAGUGUACUCUUUUAAAAAAACAAAAAACAAAAAAAAACCAGUUAAGUGUAAAACAGCCUCAGGAAGGUUCUUCAGGAAGUAUUCCAGAAGGCAUUAUUAUCAUAGGAGAUGACAGCUCCAUGGAUGCUAUUGCCCCUGAAGACCUUCCAGUGGGACAGAUGUGGAGGUAGAAGACAGUAAUACUGACAAUCCUGACCCGGCGUAGGCCUGAAGUG
Molecule: RNA transcript, 7159 nt
Organism: Piliocolobus tephrosceles (Ugandan red Colobus)
Lineage: Eukaryota; Metazoa; Chordata; Mammalia; Primates; Cercopithecidae
Gene: RIGI
Gene name: RNA sensor RIG-I
Exons: 21
Source: RefSeq, a predicted model, not a curated record